GACGAACGCUGGCGGCGUGCUUAACACAUGCAAGUCGAACGGAAAGGCCCCUUUGGGGGUACUCGCGUGGCGAAAGGGUGAGUAACACGUGAGUAACCUGCCCUUGAAUUCGGGAUAACUUCAGGAAACUGGGGCUAAUACCGGAUAGGAAUCCUUGCUGCAUGGUGGGGGUUGGAAAGCUUCGGCGGUUUUGGAUGGACUCGCGGCUUAUCAGCUUGUUGGUGGGGUAGUGGCUUACCAAGGCUUUGACGGGUAGCCGGCCUGAGAGGGCGACCGGCCACACUGGGUCUGACAGACGGCCCCGGCGCCUACGGGUGGAAGCAGUGGGGAAUCUUGCACAAGGGGUGCAAGCCGGAUGCAGCAACGCCGCGGGCUGGAUGACGGCCUUCGGGGUGAAAACCGCGUUCAGCAGGGGCGAAGCGUGUGGUGACGGUACCUGCAGAAGAAGCACCGGCUAACUACGUG
RNAcentral lists this ribosomal RNA (465 nucleotides) under uncultured bacterium. RNAcentral describes it as "partial 16S ribosomal RNA". It matches the Rfam family "Bacterial small subunit ribosomal RNA", at positions 28 to 507 of the family's 1533-position model. The record is from RNAcentral.